The sequence is a transfer RNA, 74 nucleotides long. It matches the Rfam family "tRNA". From Rfam's summary of the family: Transfer RNA (tRNA) molecules are approximately 80 nucleotides in length. Their secondary structure includes four short double-helical elements and three loops (D, anti-codon, and T loops). The record is from Rfam.
CGCGGGGUGGAGCAGCUUGGUAGCUCGUCGGGCUCAUAACCCGAAGGUCGUCGGUUCAAAUCCGGCUCCCGCAA